Molecule: ribosomal RNA, 431 nt
Filed under: uncultured bacterium
Lineage: Bacteria
Description: partial 16S ribosomal RNA
Rfam family: Bacterial small subunit ribosomal RNA
Source: RNAcentral
CCUACGGGAGGCUGCAGUCGAGAAUCUUGGGCAAUGCACGAAAGUGUGACCCAGCGACGCCGCGUGAAGGAUGAAGGCCCUUGGGUCGUAAACUUCUUUUAAGGGGAAAGCGGUACCCUUUGAAUAAGCCACGGCUAACUACGUGCCAGCAGCCGCGGUAAUACGUAGGUGGCAAGCGUUGUCCGGAUUUACUGGGCGUAAAGCGAACGCAGGCGGACUAUUAAGUAAGAAGUGAAAGGUUGGAGCUCAACUCCGGCACUGCUCCUUAUACUGGUAGUCUUGAGUCUUGGAGAGGAAAGCGGAACGACACGUGUAGCGGUGAAAUGCGUUGAUAUGUGUCGGAACACCGAUGGCGAAAGCAGCUUUCUGGCAGUACUGACGCUGAGGUUCGAAAGCCAAGGGAGCGAACAGGAUUAGAUACCCUUGUAGUC